GCUUACGGCCAUAACCACCUUAGGCACGCCCGAUCUCGUCUGAUCUCGGAAGCUAAGCAGGGUCGGGCCUGGUUAGUACUUGGAUGGGUGACCGCCUGGGAAUACCAGGUGCUGUAAGCA
Molecule: ribosomal RNA, 120 nt
Organism: Gadus morhua (Atlantic cod)
Lineage: Eukaryota; Metazoa; Chordata; Actinopteri; Gadiformes; Gadidae
Source: Ensembl